This 450-nucleotide long non-coding RNA is filed under the name Mus pahari (shrew mouse). RNAcentral's name for it is "lncRNA (MGP_PahariEiJ_G0005835.1)". Lineage: Eukaryota; Metazoa; Chordata; Mammalia; Rodentia; Muridae. The record is from RNAcentral.
GGGGGAACUUGCCAAACGUGUGCAGCCUCUUCUGUUAGCUUUAUUGUUCCUACCUGUUAAGUUUCCCAGAUGUUGAAGACAAGAUGUUGAAUACUGGCACUGGAUAUCAGAACCAGUCUAUGCUUAGGUCGGCACUGUGAAAACAGAAGCAGUAUGACUCACUUCAAGAGUCUGAUUUACACAGCCAUGAAGUAACUCCUUCAGACUAUAUCUCCCUUCUCCCUAAAGUCCCAUUUUCAAAGCCAGCUAGCUCCAGCUUCCCCGGCGGUGGAACUCAGAAAUCCAAACAACAGUUUUCAUGAAGCUGAUAAGCAGGAGCUUCCUUUGCCAGGCCCGCUCCCCAAAGGAAGAAUGCUCACAGCCAGGCCUUGGAGAUGAGAGAUGAGAUGCAUAAUGAAGAACUGUUUGUUUUCUAGAGAUCCACAAGUCAAUUUGGGAUGCUUCAUCAGC